This 433-nucleotide ribosomal RNA is filed under the name uncultured bacterium. RNAcentral's name for it is "partial 16S ribosomal RNA". It matches the Rfam family "Bacterial small subunit ribosomal RNA", at positions 29 to 507 of the family's 1533-position model. The record is from RNAcentral.
AACGAACGCUGGCGGCAUGCCUAACACAUGCAAGUCGAACGAGACCUUCGGGUCUAGUGGCGAACGGGUGCGUAACGCGUGGGAACCUGCCCUUAGGUUCGGAAUAACUCCCCGAAAGGGGUGCUAAUACCGGAUAAUGUCUUCGGACCAAAGAUUUAUCGCCUUUGGAUGGGCCCGCGUUGGAUUAGCUAGUUGGUAGGGUAAAAGCCUACCAAGGCGACGAUCCAUAGCUGGUCUGAGAGGAUGAUCAGCCACACUGGGACUGAGACACGGCCCAGACUCCUACGGGAGGCAGCAGUGGGGAAUAUUGGACAAUGGGCGAAAUCCUGAUCCAGCAAUGCCGCGUGAGUGAUGAAGGCCGUAGGGUUGUAAAGCUCUUUUACCCGGGAUGAUAAUGACAGUACCGGGAGAAUAAGCUCCGGCUAACUCCGUG